Molecule: ribosomal RNA, 417 nt
Filed under: Theileria orientalis
Lineage: Eukaryota; Apicomplexa; Aconoidasida; Piroplasmida; Theileriidae
Description: SSU rRNA
Rfam family: Eukaryotic small subunit ribosomal RNA
Source: RNAcentral
GACAAGAAAUAACAAUACGGGGCUUAAUGUCUUGUAAUUGGAAUGAUGGGAAUUUAAACCUCUUCCAGAGUAUCAAUUGGAGGGCAAGUCUGGUGCCAGCAGCCGCGGUAAUUCCAGCUCCAACAGCGUAUAUUAAAAUUGUUGCAGUUAAAAAGCUCGUAGUUGAAUUUCUGCUGCAUUACAUAUCUCUUGUUUGAGUUUGUUUUUGUGGCUUAUUUCGGUCUGAUUUUUUUAUCUUUCCGGAUGAUUACUUUGAGAAAAUUAGAGUGCUCAAAGCAGGCUUUUGCCUUGAAUAGUUUAGCAUGGAAUAAUAAAGUAGGACUUUGGUUCUAUUUUGUUGGUUUUAGGUACCAAAGUAAUGGUUAAUAGGAACAGUUGGGGGCAUUCGUAUUUAACUGUCAGAGGUGAAAUUCUUAG